AAGUCCUUUAAAUUAGUCCUGUGAGACUAAUAAGGGAAGUUGAAAUCUUUACAUUUAGUCUAACUAUUUAGGUUAGAUUAUAUCUAAAUGUAGAUAAAUUUUGGCCUUCUUAUUCCUCGCGGGAUGGGAAGGCUUUUUU
Non-coding RNA from Selenihalanaerobacter shriftii, 139 nucleotides. NCBI's taxonomy places the organism in Bacteria, Bacillati, Bacillota, Clostridia, Halanaerobiales, Halobacteroidaceae. The record is from Rfam.